UACCUACAGAAGAAGCACCGGCUAACUCCGUGCCAGCAGCCGCGGUAAUACGGAGGGUGCAAGCGUUAAUCGGAAUUACUGGGCGUAAAGUGCGCGUAGGCGGUCGAGUAAGUCGGAUGUGAAAGCCCCGGGCUCAACCUGGGAAUUGCAUUCGAUACUGCUUGACUCGAGUGCAGUAGAGGAGAGUGGAAUUCC
RNAcentral lists this ribosomal RNA (195 nucleotides) under uncultured bacterium. Its description in RNAcentral is "partial 16S ribosomal RNA". It matches the Rfam family "Bacterial small subunit ribosomal RNA", at positions 476 to 670 of the family's 1533-position model. The record is from RNAcentral.